GACGAACGCUGGCGGCGUGCUUAACACAUGCAAGUCGAACGGAAAGGCCCUGCUUUUGUGGGGUGCUCGAGUGGCGAACGGGUGAGUAACACGUGAGUAACCUGCCCUUGACUUUGAGAUAACUUCAGGAAACUGGGGCUAAUACCGGAUAGGAGCUCCUGCUGCAUGGUGGGGGUUGGAAAGUUUCGGCGGUUGGGGAUGGACUCGCGGCUUAUCAGCUUGUUGGUGGGGUAGUGGCUUACCAAGGCUUUGACGGGUAGCCGGCCUGAGAGGGUGACCGGCCACAUUGGGACUGAGAUACGGCCCAGACUCCCACGGGAGGCAGCAGUGGGGAAUAUUGCACAAUGGGCGGAAGCCUGAUGCAGCAACGCCGCGUGCGGGAUGACGGCCUUCGGGUUGUAAACCGCUUUCGCCUGUGACGAAGCGUGAGUGACGGUAAUGGGUAAAGAAGCACCGGCUAACUACGUG
Molecule: ribosomal RNA, 468 nt
Filed under: uncultured bacterium
Lineage: Bacteria
Description: partial 16S ribosomal RNA
Rfam family: Bacterial small subunit ribosomal RNA
Source: RNAcentral